UCCCUGGUGGCUUAGCAGUAAAGCAUCUGCCUGCAAUGCAGGAGACACAGGAGACACAGGUUCGAUUCCUGGGUUGGGAA
Molecule: transfer RNA, 80 nt
Filed under: Bos taurus (domestic cattle)
Lineage: Eukaryota; Metazoa; Chordata; Mammalia; Artiodactyla; Bovidae
Also listed under: 4 other names
Rfam family: tRNA
About the family: Transfer RNA (tRNA) molecules are approximately 80 nucleotides in length.
Source: Rfam by way of RNAcentral